UGGACAGAGUUCAGCAGUGCUUUGCCUUUUUGUCUUGUGCCUCUGCCCAGGUGCUGCUCCAGGCAUCCCCUGCUGGGUGAAGUGACAGAAAUUAAUGUUCCCUUUGUGUUCUAGUUCUGAGUUUGUGGCUGUCCCAGCUGCCUGGGCUGACUCACACACGUGGAAAUGCAGUUUUCAGCGUGGUUGGUGCAUGUGGGUAAAAAGGAGGGGUUCUGUAACUGUCUGCAGAUCAGUCUCCAAAUGGAAUUUUACAGCCUUCUUUGGCAAGAGAAGACAACCACGUGCUGAAACCAGUUCAGGGCAGUGGCUCUGGGAAAAGGUGUGCUUUACCUGAAAGCUUUUUGUUUCUACAAGGAAUUGUAUGAUGGCUGGUGCUUUUUCUGUCUGUACAUGGCCAGAAGUGUCUCAUGCAGAGAAGGACAAAGAGUCUGAAGUAGCACAUGAAGAAAAAAGACAAAAUAGAAAGUGGAGCACAAGAGCAUCAUGUUUAGGUGAGGCUGUGUGUACCAUAGGCUUUGGUCAUUUAAAACCCCUUCCCUCUACUAUUUCCAAGUAGGGAAGAAAAGAACAUU
Oenanthe melanoleuca is the source of this 572-nucleotide long non-coding RNA. RefSeq lists it as uncharacterized. The record is from RefSeq and is a predicted model, not a curated record. Lineage: Eukaryota; Metazoa; Chordata; Aves; Passeriformes; Muscicapidae. The transcript is spliced from 3 exons.